GGAUCGCCUGUUUAUCAAAAACAUUGUCUCAUGUACCACAUAUGAGAUAAUACCUGCCCAGUGACACUUGUUCAACGGCCGCGGUAUCCUAACCGUGCAAAGGUAGCAUAAUCACUUGCCUAUUAAUUGUAGGCUAGAAUGAAAGGGUUAACGAAAUAAAGACUGUCUCAGUUAGCCAGCUAAAAAUUAAUAUCUAUCUGAAGAAGGGUAGAUACACUCGAAGGACAAGAAGACCCUAUAGAGCUUAAUUUUACUUAUAGAACCUCACUAUAAAAAUAUUCGGUUGGGGCGACCCCGGGUAAAAUAAUCACCCAAAUUAUAAAAGAUACAUUAAUCAAACAACUGACCCUUAAAAGAUCAUAAAAACAAGCUACCUUAGGGAUAACAGGCUAAUCCCACUCAAGAGUCCUUAUCAACAGUGGGGUUUGGCACCUCGAUGUUGGCUUAGGGUAUCUAUAUAGCGCAAAAGUUAUAUGAAGAUGGUUUGUUCAACCAGUAACAUCCUACGUGAUCUGAGUUUCAGACCGGA
Molecule: ribosomal RNA, 529 nt
Filed under: Metaphire californica
Lineage: Eukaryota; Metazoa; Annelida; Clitellata; Crassiclitellata; Megascolecidae
Description: partial 16S ribosomal RNA
Rfam family: Bacterial large subunit ribosomal RNA
Source: RNAcentral